RNAcentral lists this ribosomal RNA (403 nucleotides) under uncultured bacterium. RNAcentral describes it as "bacterial SSU rRNA". It matches the Rfam family "Bacterial small subunit ribosomal RNA", at positions 28 to 429 of the family's 1533-position model. The record is from RNAcentral.
GACGAACGCUGGCGGCGUGCUUAACACAUGCAAGUCGAGCGGUAAGGCCCUUUCGGGGGUACGACGAGCGGCGAACGGGUAGAGUAACACGUGGGUGACCUGCCCUCCAGCUCUGGGAGUAAGCCUGGGAAACCGGGGUCUAAUACUGGAUAUGACUCCAUGACGCAUGUUGUGGGGUGGAAAGCCUUGUGCGGCUGAGGAUGGGCCCGCGGCCUAUCAGCUUGUUGGUGGGGUGAUGGCCUACCAAGGCGACGACGGGUAGCCGGCCUGAGAGGGCGACCGGCCGACACUGGGACUGAGACACGGCCCAGACUCCUACGGGAGGCAGCAGUGGGGAAUCUUGCGCAAUGGGCGAAAGCCUGACGCAGCGACGCCGCGUGAGGGAUGACGGCCUCGGUGUAAC